UACGUAGGGUGCGAGCGUUGUCCGGAAUUAUUGGGCGUAAAGGGCUCGUAGGCGGUUUGUCGCGUCGGGAGUGAAAAUCCAGGGCUCAACCCUGGGCCUGCAUUCGAUACGGGCAGACUAGAGUAUGGCAGGGGAGACUGGAAUUCCUGGUGUAGCGGUGAAAUGCGCAGAUAUCAGGAGGAACACCGGUGGCGAAGGCGGGUCUCUGGGCCAAAACUGACGCUGAGGAGCGAAAGCGUGGGGAGCGAACAGG
This 253-nucleotide ribosomal RNA is filed under the name uncultured bacterium. RNAcentral describes it as "partial 16S ribosomal RNA". It matches the Rfam family "Bacterial small subunit ribosomal RNA", at positions 524 to 776 of the family's 1533-position model. The record is from RNAcentral.